CAACUCAAGCCAGCAGUAACGUUCCUUGUCAGUUCUACUUUCACUUCUGACAGCUGAUACCAUGGCAGUGCCAAGAAUGUUCCUACCAUGUAGUUGCUUCAGUUUCACUUCACGUCAUGUGACUGCGGCCAUGCUGGAGCACUGCCUUUAGUCGAACAAAUCGACCCCAGGACUUAUUCUUUGUGGUGUAUCUCGGACUUCUGAGACCAAGUGUCCAAACUGAAGCAGCUACACUGAGGAAGAACCAUUUAACAAUAGACGCAGCUGUUAAAAUCACUUUAAGCUUAAAUAUAUAUCAUGAGGUAUGACCUGGUAAUUGACACAGUUCCACUGCAAUUCUCUGGAGCUAUCUUUAUCUAAUGCAUCCCUUUAUCACAUUUGCUUGCAAUUUCUAGAACGUUGAGCAACUACUUAGAGACUUUCCUCUUUUUUGAAUGCAGAAGCAUCAUCACUGUUGUUGUUGUUAUCAUUGUUGCCACCACUGUUGUUGUUUCUCAGUAGCAUCAGUUCUAUAGAUCUGCUAGAUAUCCCCGUGCUUUUCUAUAUUAUCUCCUUUUUACAUGCAAGUCUAUUGUCGCCUACAAAGAUAGAAGAUCAUGAGGCACUCAACUACGAGAAACACUAGCUAGUACAUAAAUAUGGUGAUGUAAAUGAUUUAAAUAACAUCUUGUGCAUU
Long non-coding RNA from Octopus bimaculoides (California two-spot octopus), 676 nucleotides. RefSeq lists it as uncharacterized. NCBI's taxonomy places the organism in Eukaryota, Metazoa, Mollusca, Cephalopoda, Octopoda, Octopodidae. The record is from RefSeq and is a predicted model, not a curated record.